RNAcentral lists this ribosomal RNA (459 nucleotides) under uncultured bacterium. RNAcentral describes it as "partial 16S ribosomal RNA". It matches the Rfam family "Bacterial small subunit ribosomal RNA", at positions 338 to 795 of the family's 1533-position model. The record is from RNAcentral.
CCUACGGGAGGCAGCAGUGAGGAAUAUUGGUCAAUGGGCGGGAGCCUGAACCAGCCAAGCCGCGUGAGGGAAGAAGGUACAGCGUAUCGUAAACCUCUUUUGUCAGGGAACAAAGGCGGGGACUAGUCCCCGGAUGAGGGUACCUGAAGAAAAAGCAUCGGCUAACUCCGUGCUAGCAGCCGCGGUAAUACGGGGGAUGCGAGCGUUAUCCGGGUUUAUGGGGUGUAAAGGGUGCGCAGGCGGCCUGUUAAGUCAGCGGUAAAAGCCCGGGGCUCAACCCCGGCGAGCCGUUGAAACUGGCGGGCUGGAGUUGGAGAGAAGUACGCGGAAUGCGCGGUGUAGCGGUGAAAUGCUUAGAUAUCGCGCAGAACCCCGAUUGCGAAGGCAGCGUACCGGCUCCACACUGACGCUGAGGCACGAAAGCGUGGGUAUCGAACAGGAUUAGAUACCCUUGUAGUC